Molecule: ribosomal RNA, 1436 nt
Filed under: Hypocopra rostrata
Lineage: Eukaryota; Fungi; Ascomycota; Sordariomycetes; Xylariales; Xylariaceae
Description: eukaryotic LSU rRNA
Rfam family: Eukaryotic large subunit ribosomal RNA
Source: RNAcentral
UUGACCUCGGAUCAGGUAGGAAUACCCGCUGAACUUAAGCAUAUCAAUAAGCGGAGGAAAAGAAACCAACAGGGAUUGCCCUAGUAACGGCGAGUGAAGCGGCAACAGCUCAAAUUUGAAAUCUGGCCCUCGGGUCCGAGUUGUAAUUUGUAGAGGAUGCUUUUGGCGCGGUGCCUUCCGAGUUCCCUGGAACGGGACGCCUUAGAGGGUGAGAGCCCCGUACGGUUGGACACCAAGCCUCUGUAAAGCUCCUUCGACGAGUCGAGUAGUUUGGGAAUGCUGCUCUAAAUGGGAGGUAAAUUUCUUCUAAAGCUAAAUAUUGGCCAGAGACCGAUAGCGCACAAGUAGAGUGAUCGAAAGAUGAAAAGCACUUUGAAAAGAGGGUUAAAUAGCACGUGAAAUUGUUGAAAGGGAAGCGUUUGCGACCAGACCUUUUCCUGGCGGAUCAUCCGGUGUUCUCACCGGUGCACUUCGCCAGGUUGAGGCCAGCAUCGGUUUCUGCAGGGGGAUAAAAGCCUUGGGAAUGUAGCUCCUUCGGGAGUGUUAUAGCCCCUGGCAUAAUACCCUUGCGGGGACCGAGGACCGCGCUUCGGCAAGGAUGCUGGCGUAAUGGUCGUCAACGACCCGUCUUGAAACACGGACCAAGGAGUCGAACAUUUGUGCGAGUGUUUGGGUGUUAAACCCUCACGCGUAAUGAAAGUGAACGGAGGUGAGAGCCCUUUUGGGUGCAUCAUCGACCGAUCCUGAUGUCUUCGGAUGGAUUUGAGUAAGAGCAUAACUGUUCGGACCCGAAAGAUGGUGAACUAUGCGUGGAUAGGGUGAAGCCAGAGGAAACUCUGGUGGAGGCUCGCAGCGGUUCUGACGUGCAAAUCGAUCGUCAAAUCUGCGCAUGGGGGCGAAAGACUUAUCGAACCAUCUAGUAGCUGGUUACCGCCGAAGUUUCCCUCAGGAUAGCAGUGUUGUUCUUCAGUUUUAUGAGGUAAAGCGAAUGAUUAGGGACUCGGGGGCGCUAUUUAGCCUUCAUCCAUUCUCAAACUUUAAAUAUGUAAGAAGCCCUUGUUACUUAGUUGAACGUGGGCAUUCGAAUGUACCAACACUAGUGGGCCAUUUUUGGUAAGCAGAACUGGCGAUGCGGGAUGAACCGAACGCGGGGUUAAGGUGCCGGAGUGGACGCUCAUCAGACACCACAAAAGGUGUUAGCACAUUUAGACAAUAGGACGGUGGCCAUGGAAGUCGGAAUCCGCUAAGGACUGUGUAACAACUCACCUAUCGAAUGUGCUAGCCCUGAAAAUGGAUGGCGCUCAAGCGUCCCACCCAUACCUCGCCCUCAGGGUAGAAACGAUGCCCUGAGGAGUAGGCGGCCGUGGGGGUCAGUGACGAAGCCUAGGGCGUGAGCCCGGGUCGAACGGCCUCUAGUGCAGAUCUUGGUGGUAGUA